RNAcentral lists this transfer RNA (71 nucleotides) under Ictidomys tridecemlineatus (thirteen-lined ground squirrel). Its description in RNAcentral is "Spermophilus tridecemlineatus (thirteen-lined ground squirrel) tRNA". It matches the Rfam family "tRNA". Rfam says of the family: Transfer RNA (tRNA) molecules are approximately 80 nucleotides in length. Their secondary structure includes four short double-helical elements and three loops (D, anti-codon, and T loops). Lineage: Eukaryota; Metazoa; Chordata; Mammalia; Rodentia; Sciuridae. The record is from Rfam by way of RNAcentral.
GGGGUUGUGGCUCAGUGGCAGAGCACUUGCCUAGCAUGUGUGAGGCACUGGGUUCAAUUCUCAGCACCCCA